GUGGGGAAUAUUGGACAAUGGGCGAAAGCCUGAUCCAGCCAUGCCGCGUGUGUGAAGAAGGUCUUCGGAUUGUAAAGCACUUUAAGUUGGGAGGAAGGGCAGUAAGUUAAUACCUUGCUGUUUUGACGUUACCGACAGAAUAAGCACCGGCUAACUACGUGCCAGCAGCCGCGGUAAUACGAAGGGUGCAAGCGUUAAUCGGAAUUACUGGGCGUAAAGCGCGCGUAGGUGGUUUUGUAAGUUGGAUGUGAAAUCCCCUGGCUCAACCUGGGAACUGCCUCCAAAACUGCAUGACUAGAGUACGGUAGAGGGUAGUGGAAUUUCCUGUGUAGCGGUGAAAUGCGUAGAUAUAGGAAGGAACACCAGUGGCGAAGGCGACUACCUGGACUGAUACUGACACUGAGGUGCGAAAGCGUGGGGAGCAAACAGGAUUAGAUACCCCAGUAGUCC
RNAcentral lists this ribosomal RNA (450 nucleotides) under uncultured bacterium. RNAcentral describes it as "partial 16S ribosomal RNA". It matches the Rfam family "Bacterial small subunit ribosomal RNA", at positions 354 to 796 of the family's 1533-position model. The record is from RNAcentral.